UACGUAGGUGGCAAGCGUUGUCCGGAUUUACUGGGCGUAAAGAGCGCGCAGGCGGUCGUUCAAGUCGCGUGUGAAAGCCCCCGGCUCAACUGGGGAGAGUCACGCGAUACUGAUCGACUCGAAGGCAGGAGAGGGAAGUGGAAUUCCCGGUGUAGUGGUGAAAUGCGUAGAUAUCGGGAGGAACACCAGUGGCGAAGGCGACUUCCUGGCCUGUUCUUGACGCUGAGGCGCGAAAGCUAGGGGAGCAAACGGG
RNAcentral lists this ribosomal RNA (253 nucleotides) under uncultured bacterium. RNAcentral describes it as "partial 16S ribosomal RNA". It matches the Rfam family "Bacterial small subunit ribosomal RNA", at positions 524 to 776 of the family's 1533-position model. The record is from RNAcentral.